Molecule: ribosomal RNA, 229 nt
Filed under: uncultured bacterium
Lineage: Bacteria
Description: partial 16S ribosomal RNA
Rfam family: Bacterial small subunit ribosomal RNA
Source: RNAcentral
UCCAUAGGCGGGCCAUUAAGUCAGGGGUGAAAGUCUGCGGCUCAACCGUAGAAUUGCCUUUGAUACUGGUGGUCUUGAGUUAUGGUGAAGUGGCUGGAAUAUGUAGUGUAGCGGUGAAAUGCAUAGAUAUUACAUAGAACACCGAUUGCGAAGGCAGGUCACUAACCAUAUACUGACGCUGAUGGACGAAAGCGUGGGGAGCGAACAGGAUUAGAUACCCUGGUAGUCC